AUUCAACAUGAAUACUCCAAGGCUAAAACAAAAACUGGCGUACAACAAAAUGCCUUUUAAAAAGCCUAAAGUUUUGAUUAGUUUCUUUACUUCAGCCAGAAAAUUCUAUAAAACCUUAUGGCAAUCUUGUUUUCAUCUGACAGUAGUUUUCUCCUCCACAGUAUUGUCCAUAAUUCACCAUUCAAGAGAGGGGGGGAUGGACUCCCCCAGCAUGACUCUUUAUGUUCUCUUUAAUUUAUAGGCGGCCAGGAAUGCACAAGUAGCCUAGGAUCUGAUCCUACCUUGAAUCAAGUUUUAAUGUCCAUUUCCUUUUAAAGUAUUGGUUAUAACAUAAAAAGAUGAAUCAAUAAUGUUCUUUCUUCAACAUAAACCAAAUUUGACGCAAUUGCACCACCCGACCCUCGUACAACCACUAUUCAGAAGCCAUAAUCAUGGUUAAAAACCAAAAAUAAAGAUUAUUUAAGCAAAACUAAUCCAGAAGUACCACAAAAAACUACAAAAUCCUAUUUAGAUUAAACACGUUAAAAUGUCUUUUACUGUUGAUCACCCGAAAAAUCAGCACCGAUCAGGGAAAUAAAUUUUUCAAAACAUCAAACCUACAUGACAAUACCAAAUCCCAAAUCUUUCAAAUAAUGAGAAAAUAUUUUAAAACUGGGCUUCCAGGAGGACAAGGCAGGGUUGACGAACAAUGGGGAUGGUGCUGGCCGAUGGACAGUGAAGGUAGAUGUAGUGGAAGAGGAAAUUAUGUAAAUUUGAACGACAAGGGAGGUAGAACCAAUAUGAAGGUGGUGAAGCCAGAUGCAGUAAUGGGGGGAAAUGAGAAUGGUGAUUAUGCGUGGAAGCGAGAUUUGGUAGAUGUGGAUU
This 864-nucleotide long non-coding RNA is filed under the name Olea europaea (common olive). RNAcentral describes it as "long non-coding RNA (OEUR_LNC008810)". Lineage: Eukaryota; Viridiplantae; Streptophyta; Magnoliopsida; Lamiales; Oleaceae. The record is from RNAcentral.